This 403-nucleotide ribosomal RNA is filed under the name uncultured bacterium. RNAcentral describes it as "bacterial SSU rRNA". It matches the Rfam family "Bacterial small subunit ribosomal RNA", at positions 355 to 775 of the family's 1533-position model. The record is from RNAcentral.
UAGGGAAUAUUAGUAAUGGGCGAAAGCCUGAACUAGCAACGCCGCGUGUGCGAAGAAGGCCUUCGGGUUGUAAAGCACUUUUUGAGAGGAUGAGGAAGGACGGUACUCUCAGAAUAAGUCUCGGCUAACUACGUGCCAGCAGCUGCGGUAACACGUAGGAGGCAAACGUUAUCCGGAUUUACUGGGCGUAAAGCGCGUGUAGGUGGUUUGGUAAGUAGGGCGUGAAAGCUCCUGGCUCAACUGGAAGAGGCCGUUCUAAACUGCCGAACUAGAGGAUGGUAGAGGGAGGUGGAAUUCCGGGUGUAGCGGUGGAAUGCGCAGAUAUCCGGAGGAACACCAGUGGCGAAAGCGGCCUCCUGGACCAUUCCUGACACUCAGACGCGAAAGCUAGGGUAGCAAACGG